AUGAGCUCGGCUGCUUCUCCCCCACACUUCUUUAUUUCUCCGUGCCCCUUCCGCAUGCGCUUCACGCGCCAUUGGCGCUUUGCUCUCCUCUUAUUUCUUCAUUGGAGGGUUCGGAUGGACUUCGCCGUUCUUUCCCAACAAAAAUGGAAAGGGCUCUAUCACAUCGAGAUGUCGAUUCGUUUUCCGCCCCAAAUGAGAUGGGGAAUUAGUCACCUCUGUCCCUUCAUCUUUUUGAAAGGAAUCGAGGCCCGGCCCGGCUCGCGUCAUUCCAACAACCGACGGGGAGCACCUCAGUAUACGAUCGUGCGCAGUAACUGGGAGUCCUAUUACACCUAA
RNAcentral lists this ribosomal RNA (336 nucleotides) under Triticum aestivum (bread wheat). RNAcentral's name for it is "partial small subunit ribosomal RNA". The record is from RNAcentral. Lineage: Eukaryota; Viridiplantae; Streptophyta; Magnoliopsida; Poales; Poaceae.